CCUUUGGACCUAAAACAUCAUCAUCGAGAACCUUCUAGCUCCAAAUAACAUUACAAAAUAACAAAAAUGAAAUGCACUUGAUAAUUCCUUUCGCUGCGGAACUCUUUAUUUUUAAGAAUGGCUAACAUUAUUUUUUGGGACGGAAUGUUCCUAUGAAGUGGGCCAUCUGAGUUAGUAUUGAGCCCAACAGUCCGAACAAGGUUCUUUUGUCAUUGGCCCAACUUAACCUAAACCAGGUAUCAGAUCAACGUAAAAUUUGCAUAACCUGUUACAGUAAAAAUUGUUCAGAUAUUUGUUUCUGAUAGCGUCCCUGAUCAUACAUGCCUUAAACAUAUAUUGUCUUCGUAUAAGAAUAAUAUUGGUAUAGAAAAUAAGACCAAACCGAUGAUCCCAUUGCUUUAAUACAACAAAUAUUUGAGGAACAGUGCAACUAAAUGUAAUUAACAACUAACAAAAGUGACAAGUGACAUAGAAGUGAGUUAGAGUUUCACAACUUCAUGUUGAGAACCUUACCUAAGGGCUGGUAGGAUCCAGGUGUUCCAUAUGAUGAGGAAGGUGUAAAUGGUUUAGGGGUAGAUUCCUCCCUAAGUGCAGUAAGAGCAAGCCUCCUUCUCUGUCUAUGUUCCUUAUGUCUCCUUAUUCUGUCCUCUAGUGCAGCUUUAGCAUUCUCAGCAAACUCAGCUCUGCUUUGAGCCUGUUCUGCACGAGCCCUCAACUCCGAAAUUUUCAUUGAUGCAAUAUCCAACUCUUUUUUCAUCAAUGCAAACUCUGAAAAUCUUCCAACUUCCCCUACCACUCCUUCAACUCCAGUUCUCUUCUCAACUAAGGAUUUUCCUGUCACAUGCUCAAUGUUCUUCUCACUAUAUCUCUCUUCAGCUUCUGUCUCUGAGUAAACAUUUUCAUGAGUAAUCUUUUCAUUCUUGUAAAGCAGCCUAUGUUCCUCCAGCUUAGACUUCAGCAAUGCAAUUUCCACCUGUGUUUCAAUGCCGCUCCCCUUGUUCAUGUUUACUUCUGCUUUAGCCUCAUGUAACUCACAUGUGAGUGAUUCAUUAGUAAUAUUCAAGGCAUUUAUUUCUUCCUUUGCAACCGUAACUUCUUGCUUUAACUGACUCAUUGCCAUUUCUAGUGUGUGAAUGUACACAGAUUGAUCCCUUAUUUUUCUGUCCUUUAGUUCCAUGUCAAUUAAUUGGUCUGUGUGGUUUAUGGUUUUGGGAGCAGAAUCCUCAGAUAAAACGAGUUUUUCAUUAGCUUGCAUAGGUUCCAGGGGAAGAGAAUUAACCACUGUAGACAUACCCAUUGGUUGAUUUUGUAAUUCCUGUAACAUUUUCGCAUGCUUUCUCAUAUCUUCUAGCUGUUGUUGUACAUGAGCAGUAGCUUUUGUAGUGAAAUCAAUUUGCUCAUCCUUCUCAGACAAUAAAGCUAAGUUCUCUUUCUCAGAUUUAAUGGCAGCUAGUUUUGAAUUGUGAAUAACUUCAUUGAGCUCCUUCACUUGCUGCAGAAGUUCUUCUUUCUGUUCCUUUUCAGCCUCCAAGGCGGCUUCCAACUGUUUUGCUUUUGUCAAAGAGUUCAGUUCUGAAUCUCUGGCAGCAACAAGUUCAGUUUCUUUGUUAAGAAGCUCCCUUUGUGUGGCCUUCAGUUCACUUAAAACAUGUGCAAACUGGUCCCGGACCUUCGCAGCCUCCAAACUUUGAUCUGCCAUCUCUUUCAUCUUGUAUUCAAGCUCAUCUUUGCGAGAUCUACAUUCUGAACAUUCGCUCAUGUUCUUGUUUCUUUCAAUGUCAGAUUUCUUCAAUAGGGUGGACAAUUCGUGAACCAUCUUUUGGUUUUGCUCCAGCUUAAGAAGUGUUUGCAUGUGUGCAGCAUGCUUUGCUUCUAACUGUACCUUGUUGUUGGCCAAUUCCUUUGUCAGCUCCUCAACUUUUUUUCCACAAUCACUCUGACCAACAAAUAAAGCAAAAUCAUGAAUUCAGAUGUCAUCUCUCAUGAUAUUAAUGGAUCGAAUCUACCCGAGUGAAUGGGACUAACAAUUAAACGUCACGGUGUAUAGAUAGUGUAUUUUGUAAAGGAAACUAAUUCUCCAAAAUCCUUUGAAAACUAUAUUUCUUACUUAUCUUACCUUACUCCUUGCAGGUUGAUAUUUCUUCUUAUCACCUUUAUCUCCAAAC
This 2165-nucleotide long non-coding RNA is filed under the name Phaseolus vulgaris (common bean). RNAcentral's name for it is "long non-coding RNA (PVUL_LNC004141)". The record is from RNAcentral. Lineage: Eukaryota; Viridiplantae; Streptophyta; Magnoliopsida; Fabales; Fabaceae.